GACGUAGGGCGCAAGCGUUGUCCGGAUUUAUUGGGCGUAAAGAGCUCGUAGGCGGUCUGUCGCGUCGGCUGUGAAAUCCCGAGGCUCAACCUCGGGUCUGCAGUCGAUACGGGCAAACUAGAGUAUUGCAGGGGAGACUGGAAUUCCUGGUGUAGCGGUGAAAUGCGCAGAUAUCAGGAGGAACACCGGUGGCGAAGGCGGGUCUCUGGGCAAUAACUGACGCUGAGGAGCGAAAGCGUGGGGAGCGAACAGG
Molecule: ribosomal RNA, 253 nt
Filed under: uncultured bacterium
Lineage: Bacteria
Description: partial 16S ribosomal RNA
Rfam family: Bacterial small subunit ribosomal RNA
Source: RNAcentral